This 3140-nucleotide long non-coding RNA is filed under the name Sus scrofa (pig). Its description in RNAcentral is "lncRNA (ENSSSCG00000059084.1)". The record is from RNAcentral. Lineage: Eukaryota; Metazoa; Chordata; Mammalia; Artiodactyla; Suidae.
AUAAUCGAAACUCUCCAUCAUAAGUACUAUAUGGCAUCUUUCUUAUGAGUGACAGAUGAAACUCCAUAGUAUAUGAAUUUUGAUACAAUUGUAGUUAACGUCAUAGAUAGUGCCUUUGGGAUUCUAUACUAAAAACCAAAGAAAAGAAAGUUAAAUGGUACAAUAAAUAUUUUCACACUUGAUAUUAAUACAUACACAUCAUUAAAUAGUUAUACCUAUAUUUUUGCCAAGUCAUCUGUAAUUACUCACCCUAGUUGAUUGGUUUUCAUUGAAAUUUUCUUGUUCAAGGGCAGGUGCUGCAUGGUUUUGCUUAGUUAUUUGAAGGUGCAGCUUGUAGUAUGAUCGAAUCUUCCCCUGGAACAAUAUCCAUGGUUAAAGAUGAUCAUUGCUUAGUCAGCUAUUCAGACUCUUCUGGAAACAGUUGUUAUGGGAAGAGGAGUGGGUGGAAGAUGAAUAGACUCACAGGAACUCUUUAAGGGAAAGGUUGAAGCAAUUUUUCAUGGGAAGGGGGAAAUAAUUACAAAGAAAUUCUUUCUGGAAAAGAUCAAUAACUGGAAAAUUACCCUUUGAACUCAUUGUCAUAGGAAAUUUAUCUAAUAAUAUUUUUCUCUCCAAAAGACUAAUUUUUCAAUGGACUCAUAUUGCCAAGGGCAACUUUUUCACAUACCUAAAAAGAAGUGCAUAAACAUCACCCCCCAAAAAGGGGAGAAACAAUGUUUUUCUUGCUUUUAGAAAAAUAAAUAUACAUACCUUAUAGGAAAAUUUUAAAUCAGUUCCACUUACCACAUUCAUAAAUAGUUAAGUUUUAAUUUUAUGCUAUUUGCUUCUAUUUAUAUAAAUGAAAGAUGAAUUAAGGAGAUCUGAAGUAUAGAAAAAUCAAAAUGUAGCAAAAAGUCACUAUAUACUACUUAUAUUUAAUAUUGAAAAUCAAGAAAUCUAUCAGUUCUGUAGUUGUCAGGAGUAUAUUUUGGACAAUUUCUGGCAUCUAAAAAAAUCUUAGAGAGUUUUUUUUUCUUGGUGUUCUUAAAUUCAGCUUUAUUAAGUUAUACUUUGCGUACAAUAGCAUUUACUCAUUUUAACUGUAUAUUUUGAUGAGUAUUAAGAAAGGUAAGAAAGGCUUAUUUUCAACCACAGCCAUGAUAUAGAACAUUUCCAUUAAACUGAGGGUUGCUUUAUGCCCUUUUCUAGGCAGAAGCCUUCCCUCACCCCCAGUUCCUGACAACUACUGAUAUUUCUGUCACUAUGUUUUGUUUUUUGCCUUUUAUAGAAUCUCAUAUAAAUGAAGUAAUGCAACAUAUUAUGGUUUUUGUCCAUCUUCUUUCAUGUAGCAGGAUGCUCUACAGAUUUAACUAUGUUGUGACUUGUAUCAGUAGUUAGAAUAUUUAAUUGCUGAAAGGUAUUCCACUGUAUGGAUUAACCACAAAUUGUUUAUCAAUUCAUUUAGUGGAUGUUUGGGUCAUUUCCAAUACUUUGUGAUGAAUAAAGCACCUAUGAACAUUCAAGUGCAAAUCUUUUUGUUAACAUCUGUUUUCAUUUUGCUUACAUGAAUACUUAAAAGUGGAAUUAUUGGGUCAUAUGGUAAGUAUAUGUUUAACUAUCAGAAAUUGUGUUUUCUUCCAAAGUGGCUAAACUGUUUCACAUUUCCACUAGCAUUGUCUGAGCAUUUCAGUGGCUUCACAUUCUCACAAUUAUUCUGUGGAGUUCUAGAUUAGUGAACUAUUUUAAUUAUGAGCCACAGUAAGAGUUUCAUUUUACAGUAUAGCUCAUGAUACACAUAAUUGAAACAUGUUUUAAAAAAACAGUACUUUGAUUUACUACAAAUGAGGCAGUCUGAUUUCUAUUUUCUAUUCUCAUAUAUUUUGCUAAAAAUAAAAAUGCCUAUCUUAACUACUAAGCUAGCUGCACAGCCUACUAAUCGUUCAACCUAUAAUUUUAAAAACACACUUUGGAUAUAAUCUACAUACCAAUGCAAAUAUCUAAGUUUAGGUUGAUGGUUUACUUUGUAAUAAAACUAUAGACAUAAAGUUUAGUAUAUACAAUUUUCUCUACCAGGGAUCAGUUGCUUGAGUUGAGAUGGGAAAGCUAGCUAAAGGAUUAAUUUGGGUUUGGGGUUUUGCCAAAUAGAUGAGAAUGACAAAAACAAAGCAGGAAAUUGACAAAAGGUCGUGGGAAUCAAGACUGGAUGUGGUAGAAAUUGUUAGUGGCAACAAGCCUGUAUCAGAAGAUGGACACAUUGGCUUCAGUGUGGAGUUUUAGAGUCAUCACCCUCAGCCACCAAAGUGACUACGUUUUCCCUUUACCUUUUCAAACUAUUUUGUAUCAGUCAAUAAGAGGGAAGGUUUGGGCAAAAAAAUAUUAUUAGUAAUGGUUAAAUGUUCAUUUGGAAAGAAGACUGAAAUUAUUAUCUAAAUCUAUUAGGUUUAAUAUUUUACUCAUUUACACAUUGCCUUUCAUCUAUUUUCAUGCUUGUUCAGGAAUCAGUUAUAGCAAAAUGAUUGAUGAUUUAAAUUUGAGAUAUUAAAUGAGGUUAUACUAGAAUGUAUUCAGUUUAAAUAUAGUGGAGUCAUGAAUGGUAAAAAAAAAAAAGAACAUUAUUUCUUUUUCUGGGUAACUCGCAUAUUUUUGUUUCAUUUUUUUUUUUACAACUUUACACUGACCUUUGCUUUUCCUCUUAAAAUUCAUCAGUUUUGUCCCUUCUAUCAGUGAGUAUUCAGCUGAGAACUGAGUUUUUUAAGGUUUUAUAUUAGAGGAAACUGUGUGAAGUUGCAGAUAUCAUUAGUAGACUGAUUCAACAUUUCAGAUUAGCAAAGGAACAUGGUCCAAGGUCACUGAAUAAAUUACACUGUAUCAAAAAAAAAAUGAAAAUUACACCCUGACAUAGUAUGAUUUUAAUAAAAAAUGAAAAUGGGAUUUAUGACCCCCUUUCUUCAGGCUACUAAUGUUCAUUGCCAAAAGAUGAAUCCCUUCUGUGACAUUAAAUGUGAGACAGGCCACAGAAAAUGUUGUGGACUAAUUCACUUGCCAAGAAGAGAGACAAAGUGUAUAUAUGCAUAUGUUUUUAUAUUCAUCUGCUAUCAUCGUGAAGCCAAAUAUGUUUAAGGCAAACAAAUCAGGCCAAAUAAGAUCAUAUUUUUCCCAGU